ACUUUAGUUCUAGUUGAGUGACUAUUAGUUAUUAAUUUUAUGUACACUUGCAUAGGCAUUUCUCUCAGUGCGCCCAGUAAGUGAGUGAGCUGCUGAACGCCCACUUUUUGCUGAGGCAGUGCGGCAAAUUCACUGCAGCAGCAACGGGAAAAGUGGAAGUGGAAUGUGGAAACAGGAGCGUCGUCUCCAUGGCCACGGCGUCCAUCGUUUGUCCCACGUUCGACGUCUGGGUUGCUAGGAUGCUGCGAUGCUGGGAUGCUGGGCCAUUGGGUUGCCUCAAGUGGAUGACGACCACCAGCCAGUUUCGCCGUAUCUGGCCACCACAAUCGACGUGCCACAACGGCUCGCAAUCCGAGAAUCCCAGAAUCGUUGGACCUGCACCCAGAGGAGAUGGUGCUGGAGAUGGAGAUGCGGUAGCCGGAGUGGAAGUAGAAGUGGGAGUAAAAUUGGGAGCGGGAAUUUGGGUCAGCAUCCCCUUCUCGACGGUGACUGCAAUUUUUUGGCAUGAUUCAUGACCGCACCAUGGCAAUGUCGUUUUCGUCGUCUACGCGCGACUUAACACACACAAAAAGCGGCACAGACACAUGCAGCAUGCACUGCGAGAAAUUAAUAGGAGUGCGAGUCAAAUUGGAUUAGUACGAUUUUGUAAGAAGAUACCAUACAUACAUACCAUAUAUAUAUAAAUAGUUAUUUUACAUU
This is a non-coding RNA of Drosophila melanogaster (fruit fly), 699 nucleotides long. NCBI's taxonomy places the organism in Eukaryota, Metazoa, Arthropoda, Insecta, Diptera, Drosophilidae. The record is from Ensembl.